AGGGUGUAAACGCUGCAGACUUGGUGUUGGGAACCCUUCGGGGGUGCUCAGUGCCGGAGAGAAGUUGUUAAGUCUGCUACUUGGGGAGUACGUCCGCAAGGAUGAAACUUAAAGGAAUUGGCGGGGGGAGCACCGCAACGGGAGGAGCGUGCGGUUUAAUUGGAUUCAACACCGUAAAACUCACCAGGGAAGACUGUUACAUGAAGGCCGAGAUGAAGACUCUGCCAGAUUUUCAGAGAGGAGGUGCAUGGCGUCAGUGACU
RNAcentral lists this ribosomal RNA (262 nucleotides) under uncultured archaeon. Its description in RNAcentral is "partial 16S ribosomal RNA". It matches the Rfam family "Archaeal small subunit ribosomal RNA", at positions 748 to 1008 of the family's 1478-position model. The record is from RNAcentral.